GCGCAGCCGCAGUCGUCGCUCGGAUCUCGAUCGGGCCGGUUGCGUACUGUGUUUGUAGGUAGAUUCGCGAGCUACCAACAAGCGUCGUUUAGUCCAUUCCGAGCCGUGCGAUCGAGAUGGUCUUUUUCCUAGUUUUUCUAUAUGACCACGCGUAAGCAUUGCUCUUCUGCGUGCGUUUGUUUUGCUCCUAACAUUUAUCUAUCUCGCGACCGUGUAACGACAUUUAAGUAAGUUGUAAAUUGUAAGACGAUUUAAGUUCGUUCGUUCUUCCUUUUAAGACUUUAAGAAAGUGAGACAGAGAGACAACGAGAUAAAAAGAGUACUAUAAUUCAAAUCAUCAUGGAUCGAUCGUCGAAAAUGAUUCUACGAAAGAUCAUUAUAGAUUUCGUGUGCUUGCUUAUUGUGGCUGGUGCGGUGCUGAUGUUUUUCCUGUUCGGCAAACCGUACAAGCGGGGAUUCUUCUGCAAUGACGAGUCGUUAUAUCAUCCGUUCCACACGUCGACUGUAACCAGCGUGAUGCUCUACGUCAUUGGUCUUUUACUUCCUAUAUGCACGAUGAUAAUCGGAGAGUAUCUCUACGCGAGGCAUUGUGACGCAGAUUCGACGAAGAUAUUAUUUGGCUACAACAUACCACCAUGGUUAUGGGGUGCAUAUGAAAAGAUUGGCAUAUUCGGUUUUGGAGCAGCAACAACUGUUUUAAUCACCGACAUCGCCAAAUACACGAUCGGCCGACUGAGACCCCAUUUCAUGACUCUUUGUGUGCCUAGCAUUAAUUGUAGCCUGCCUGAAAAUCAGCACAGGUAUAUCGAGAACUACGUCUGCACCGAAAACAUCUCGACCAGGCUUCUAAAGGAGAUCAGAUUAUCCUUUCCCUCAGGACACUCGUCAUUCUCGGCCUACACGAUGAUCUACCUCGCGCUGUACUUACAAUUAAGGAUGACAUGGAAGGGUAGCAAGCUGUUGAAACACUUCCUGCAACUUCUGUGUAUACUUAUGGCCUGGUUCACGGCAUUGUCACGAGUUUCUGAUUAUAAACAUCACUGGAGCGAUGUUCUGGCCGGCUCGACCCUUGGUACCAUCGUGGCACUAGUCGUGGCGAACUGCGUGGCGAACCUGUUCAAAGAUCGGAGUCAUUGCUUGAUGGAAGAGAAACGCCGUGCGGCCGAUUACGAAACAGGGGGCGGUACACAGGUGAAUAAUGGCUCUACUAAUCGCAACUGUUGACCUAACGAGCUAGCUCUUCGCUUGCUGACCACACCAAGACCGUGACUCGUCUUCUAAUUGUCUCUGGGGAGCUAGUCUGGUCUCAGGGAACAAAAGCACAUGCUACUGGCCGCCUGAAGUCGAGUUAUAGGAAAAACGUACGGUGUCCGAAUGUUGGUGUCGCGAAUUUUAUUGUUCGACAGCGAAACUGCCUUACGCGCUGCUGGGGACCCUUCAUCAUCCGCCCACAUUCUCGGCGAUUCUUCUAGACGUAGCCUGUUUCAACAUGAUCCAUCAUAAUCAUCAUAAUCAUCAUCGGCUGGUGUUCCAUGCUGAUCGAAUUCCAAUUAAAAAGAAAAGAAAAACAAAGAGAAAGGAGCGAAAAGCAGCGAUAUUUCAUGAGAUGGAACGGAUUAUUUGACGUACGAAUUUCUCUUUUUCAUACGAUGCUUCGCGACGAAGCUUCUUUUAUCAACGUUCUCUACUUUCCAUCGAGCUUCUGUGGAAACUACAUUUACGUUAAACGGAACGCUGCUAAAUAGAAAAGAGUUCUCCGUAAUGUUGUAAAAAUGAAAAACGAUACGGUGGAUUUCUUUUGGAAAAGAUAAAUAAACGAAGAGAGGAGCUACUCGAAUUACAAAACUGAUCUUUACUGAUCAACGAUCAUGGCUGUAUUUUGUUUAGAACUUUAAUUAAGAGAUAACGUCAUAGGAAUUUCUGCAAGUUUCGUCCGUGCAGCUAAGCAUUACGAAACUUCAUCCUGUCUGAGAUGAAAAGUAUUCGAUUAAAAUAGGAAAUAUAAUUAAGAAACGAUAGUAAUAGAGAUCCAGGAAGAGUGACACAAGAUUUUUUACCUGCAGUACAUUCCCAAUUUACCGAUGAAACAAAUCUAACGCUAUACUCUUUCGACACCUUUUAGAUUUAGCGUAUUACCUUCCUUCUCGAAUCGAAAAAUCGGCGACUAAUUAUGUGGUUUGUUUCUUUUUUCUUUUUUUUUUUUUAUGUAAAUUAUUGUAUCGUUCGAAACGUGCUACUGUAUUCUGGUUUACGAUUAGAAUAACGAAGCACUUUAAUUGUUACUCGUAUAAAGGGUUAAUUUUAUGUCUGCGUUUAACUAUAAGUCAAGUGUAUUAUAAUAUCUUUAACAUAUUACAUAUGUAUAUAAAUACGUUAUAUUUUAAUGUCUUAUUGACCGUUGAUCUUGUUCCUAUGAUUGUAUUUCGCAAUUGAAAUUCGCGCGCGUGACACGUGCGUGUGACGAAUAUAUUCUACUCUUUUUUUUUUUCUUUUUUCAAAAAUAUGAAACUAAUAAUAUAAAACACACCUUUGCCUUUUGUUGAGUUGUUGGCAAUUAACAUAGUUUGUACGUUGUUUAAAAAAAGAAAUAAUAUUGAUUCCUUAAGGUGAGUUAAUAAAGGGUGUGAUGAAGGAUAUUUAUAUAUUUUGAAGGAAACGAUACAUUUUUUUAAUACAUGUCUUUAAAUAUUUUAACAUUAAGAUGUUAAAAUUAUUACGAACUUGUAUUGUAAAUACAUGUACAAUGUAAUUUAAUUGCAAGAAUUAUUUUUCUUUUUUUCAUUAGAUUUUAUUUUAGGUAUGUAAUCUCGUGUGAACUUUUAUUUAUAAUUUUUUGUACUCGAAGCAAACGACGACGAAAAAUACAGAAACAGUUGAUAAGUAAUAAUCGUGAAUCGACAUAAGCAUAUAUCACUAUGAAAUAAUAUUUCAGAAUAUAUUUCAUUAAUCUUUGUAUUCUUUCAACGUGUUCUCGAAAAUGAGUUUUCUUUUUCAUAUGCGCACAUUCGUUCAAUUUCUCUUUACACGCCUUUUACAUUUAUUGUAUUUAUUGACACGUCAUUAAAUGACGUUCGAGUAUUUUGUAAUCAAGAAACGAAUUGUUUAUAUGUAGCGUAGUUAUACGACGAUAAAAAUAUAACUACGUUGAAAUGCGAAUAAAAUUCACGAGAAACAUGAUUCAUGGGAUAAGUUAGAUUAGAUAAUUUAUGAAUAUUUUUACAUUCUACCGUACUUUCAACUUCGAACUAUAAAAUGUAAUAGAAAAUAAAAAUUUACGAACAAGGGGUGGUAUAUUGUAUUCUUUAAUUGUUAAAUUUCUAUUGUUAUACAUAGAUUAUUUUAUUAUUAACGUUACUAGAUGUCUAGUAUUAACUAAGCGAUCUUCUUAUAAUUACGAUAACUUUAUCGUGAAAAUUAAGAUUAAAUUACGAUUACCGUUAAUGAAACAAGCUCAAAAUAAUUAAAUGGAAUUGGUAAAAUAUUUAUAGAUGUUAAUGUGCUCGUGGAAAAUAUUUUACGAACAUUCCAAACCACGAGAAAUCAAAUAAAAUGUUUCUAUUUAAUAAAAUACCAGCACGUUAAUUGUUGUAAUGCAAAUUGGCGGUCAAUAAGAUGUUAAUUGUUAAAUAUAAAAAUACGAUUGAUUUCGUUAGACGAUAAUUUAAAAAAAAAAAGAAAAACUCUAAAGAGAAGACGAUAAGCCUUAAUUUCACAAUGUGUCUUUCAUGUUCUUUAAAUAUUAGAGAAAAUAAAAACAAAGAAAAGAAAAUAACGCGAAGUAAGUUGAAUUGAUUCUUAAGGAGCUACAUAAACCCAGGAAAUUAUCAAUUUCUUUUUCAUAUCUUUUGUAUCUUCAAGCCUGUCGAAUAUUUAAGCGCUUUAAACCAGGAAGCGAUUACUAUCAAAAGCGAUACCAAAAGUAUUAAAAAAAUCUGGCAAUCGUUGCAUCAGCAAAUAACACAAAAAUUAACUGUUCAUAUAAAAAUGCCAUUUUCCGCCAUAUUUUUGCAACACUUGCACGAUUGUAUAACCUGAAUAUCCACUAUUUUGUACAAUGAGCAUUUUUCUUAAAAAUUACAUUUCCUUGGAUCAGAAAAAUGUUGAAAGAUAUGUAGUUUUUAAUUUCCUAAAUAUAAGUAGCUCCUUAAUUUGUUAACUGGGGAAAGACGAGUUAACUCGUCGCUCGCAUUACCAAUAUUUUGUACUUAAUAAUUCAUUUAUCUCCUCCUUCUUUAUCUCAUUAUUAUUCUGAUAUUAAAGAUAAUAAAUAUAUCAACUCAUUUACAUUUGCGUAGAAUUCGAUCGAAUUAAUUCGUCUUUCAUUAAUUAUUUAAAAAACCGCCCAGUUAACAAGUUAAACAAUUAGCAGUAUAAACUAUGUCUAACGCGAUUUAUCGGAUUUGCACGAUGGAUCAUGUACCCUGUGCUCGUUCAUACAGACGAAGGGAUCGUUAAUCGUUGCUUAAAGGGUUUCGUAUUUAUUCUAGGGCAAGUCUUCUACUAUUACUUCGAGCAAAGAUGUAAACAAGGGGUUUACGAUAUACAACGCAACAUUGAUUAAAAAGAAACAAUUGUAACACGUGUACCGUUUUAUUGUGAUAUCAUGAUCAUUAAAUUCUGCACAGAUUGAAAAUGUAUACCAGAUCGAAGUAAUAAGUUCGCUCAUCUGUCGAUGAAAUAAUAUCGAAAUUUUGAUCGCUGUGAUAACAAAGAUAUUAAUAAUUCUAAGUUUUAUUCGAUGAAAGUAACCGUUGGCAUUGGUAUAUAACGUCUAAUAAAUAAAAUAUAAAAAGUGAUAGAUACUGUUGAAAAGUUUAUUUGAAAUGAUAAAGCGUCAUUGUAUCGUAAUAAUUCUAAGUUCUAUUCGAUUAACAUCGAUAUACAUCUAAAUACAUGAAAUAUAUUGAAAGUGAAUAAAUAUUCUUCAAAAUUGUUGUUUCGAUAUAUUCUAAGGCAUCGUUGCGCAUACUUACUGAGAGGUCAUCAGAGAACGAUCAAAGGGAAAAUAUGAUUGAACGUAAUUAAAAAAUUCAGCCUUAGGUAAGAAGAAGAGAAUCUCUGCUUCAGCUUACGAGCUGAGAUUUUAUUAAAAAAAAAAAAAAAAAAUCCGAAGAGUCGAUGUAACUUUGAAGAUUACACACACGGUAGCGACGAAUUACGCUCGAUUCAAUUUAUGUGAAUAAAUAAUUUACGGCUGGAUAAUUUACAGGCACGAUAAAUCAUCAAACUGGAAUUACUUAACGAAAAAAAAAUAUCUUUAAACCCGUUCCUUCAAAUUCGAUUCGUACGGUAAUAUGUAUAAAUAACGAUGGCUUCUCUUCGUUGAGACGAAAUCGUUCAUCACUGGUUCACGAACAGUAAAAUGGACGAGGUAUAAAUACAUUAUAGUAGCUUUGACCAGUGCACGCCACUUAAGCAGAAACAGUGGCACACGUGAUCCUUCUUGAUCGGCAUUUCGUAUCCAAAGAGAGGAUACAGCACCGAUAAAAUCUACUCUUUCUACCAUUAAUAAUACCGAUAGGUAUCUGGUUAUAAAUGAUAGCCCUUAUUAUCUUGUAUACGCAAGAAUACGAGGAAUCACGUCGAAAGUAUUCAAACACGAGCGUAAUGCGAAAUUAGUCUUGUACUACUCGGAACUGUCUUGUACACGAAAUGUUAAAAUAAAACUUCCUGUACGUGCGUC
RNA transcript from Bombus pyrosoma, 5683 nucleotides. It is a transcript of the gene named putative phosphatidate phosphatase, with no coding region annotated. The record is from RefSeq and is a predicted model, not a curated record. NCBI's taxonomy places the organism in Eukaryota, Metazoa, Arthropoda, Insecta, Hymenoptera, Apidae. The transcript is spliced from 8 exons.